UAUUAACAGUAGGGGGAAGAAUAAAAUAUCCUUUCUUUGCAGCUAGUCCUCCCAUAAAUUGACAAUUUCAGAAUUAAAGUAACUGUAGAGCCCAACAGUUAUCAUAAUAACUUGGUAAACUUAGAUUCAGCAUAUAUUAAAUUAGACUGUUAAAGUACAGUACUGUAAGAGUGAGUGGAAGGAAAUUGUGGGUUCCUUACAUCUAAUUAAGGACCUUUUUCAGUGCAACAAGGCAUGAUAAGAAAGGGAGGAAGCCAUAAAUAAGAGCAUACAGGGUCCCAAAUUGACUGACAAAUAAGGCAGGAUAGGAUGGGAACCAAAGCUGGUUAAUCACACUAAUUGAUGAGGGCAGAUGGGAGUGUGGGAUUUCCUGCUGAUCAGGAAAAUCUUCAGUUAGGAAACUAAGGGAAAAGGGGGAAACCAGAAACAGGGAGAUACAGAUCUGAUACAACAAACCAUAGAGACAAUGACAAGAAACAAACCUAGUCACACAAAUUGAUGUGCUAAUGAGAAAUUACAAGCACCACUUCCAGCAAGAUCAACAAUUGAUUGGCAAUUGAUUAAGAUUGUGAACCAAGGCAGGGCAUGGGCUGGGAGGGGUGCAGGAAAGAGUGGACCUCUGCAACCCAACAAGGGAUGUCUUAGGGAAGAGGGAGCAGGGAGGAGUAAAGAGGGAGUAAGCAGAAAAGAUUAUAAAAGGGCUUGUUGCUUGUAAGAUAGAGUUGGUCAGUAUGCUUGUCUGGCUGAGCCCUGUGCCUGAUCACUGCAGUCUGGCCAGUGUUGUCAUUAAAUCCUUUCUUAUCUCUCUGUUUAAUCUUACUGCUGUAAGGGCUCAGUUCUAGCUCCUGGUGAGACCUCUGUGUGUGAGCGAAAUUUGAUGCCAGCUGCUGGAGUCUCAGCAACAGCUCCUGGAGCAGUUUUUUUAAUGGACUCUGCUAGAGGAGCGGAUGCAGCACAAGCUGCAGGCGAUGCUGGAGGAACAGGAACGCGUCAUCGAGCACAAGCAGAAGGAGCAGGAGGUGCUGCUGAAGGAAUGCUUCCAGAGCGAGGCUGAGACGCUGCGGGAGCAGACAAGAAGCUGCGGGAGAAGAAGGAGGAGAUGAAGAAGCCGUCGUGGCACCAAAGGGCACCGGAUGGGCACGGCUUUGUCACCGAUCCCUUUCUGCUGGGCCUGUUGUCUGUCGCGUUGGUCGUGUUCUUUGGUGCCCUGAUGCUGAUACAGCACGUGUAGUGACCUCAGUGCAAUCCCAAUAAAUUCCUCCAUUCUGCCUCCA
This 1274-nucleotide long non-coding RNA is filed under the name Anser cygnoides (Swan goose). RNAcentral describes it as "lncRNA (ENSACDG00005004340.1)". Lineage: Eukaryota; Metazoa; Chordata; Aves; Anseriformes; Anatidae. The record is from RNAcentral.